This 460-nucleotide ribosomal RNA is filed under the name uncultured bacterium. RNAcentral's name for it is "partial 16S ribosomal RNA". It matches the Rfam family "Bacterial small subunit ribosomal RNA", at positions 338 to 795 of the family's 1533-position model. The record is from RNAcentral.
CCUACGGGAGGCAGCAGUGAGGAAUAUUGGUCAAUGGGCGCGAGCCUGAACCAGCCAAGUCGCGUGAGGGAAGACGGUCCUAUGGAUUGUAAACCUCUUUUGUCGGGGAGCAAAAGACGCCACGCGUGGCGUUCCGAGAGUACCCGAAGAAAAAGCAUCGGCUAACUCCGUGCCAGCAGCCGCGGUAAUACGGAGGGGGCAAGCGUUGUCCGGAUUUACUGGGUGUAAAGGGCGUGCAGCCGGAGAGACAAGUCAGAUGUGAAAUCCACGGGCUCAACCCGUGAACUGCAUUUGAAACUGUUUCCCUUGAGUGUCGGAGAGGUAAUCGGAAUUCCUUGUGUAGCGGUGAAAUGCGUAGAUAUAAGGAAGAACACCAGUGGCGAAGGCGGAUUACUGGACGAUAACUGACGGUGAGGCGCGAAAGCGUGGGGAGCAAACAGGAUUAGAUACCCCAGUAGUC